Molecule: unclassified non-coding RNA, 213 nt
Filed under: Hevea brasiliensis (rubber tree)
Lineage: Eukaryota; Viridiplantae; Streptophyta; Magnoliopsida; Malpighiales; Euphorbiaceae
Source: RNAcentral
CUUCUAUCUUCAAAUCACUAGGCUCCUCAUUACCUGUCAUUUCUAGGACUGUUGAAGAUUCAGUGUCAUCUUCUUCAGCAACAGAAUUUCUCUUUCCAGUAGCAGAGAUAUCUUGGCAUUGUCCAUCAGAAUUUUCAGCCUCAAAAGCAACCUCAUCUCCAUUGUUUGAAUCAUCAAGUUGAUUUGCACUUUCCAUUUGAUUAUUGAUAUCGG